GCCCAGACUCCUACGGGAGGCAGCAGUGAGGAAUAUUGGUCAAUGGACGCAAGUCUGAACCAGCCAUGCCGCGUGCAGGAUGACGGCUCUAUGAGUUGUAAACUGCUUUUGUACGAGGGUAAACCCCGAUACGUGUAUCGGGUUGAAAGUAUCGUACGAAUAAGGAUCGGCUAACUCCGUGCCAGCAGCCGCGGUAAUACGGAGGAUGCGAGCGUUAUCCGGAUUUAUUGGGUUUAAAGGGUGCGUAGGCGGGCCGGAAGGUCAGGGGGAAAAGCCGGGGGCUCAACCCCGGCGAGCCGUUGAAACUGUCGGACUAGAGACGGCGAGAAGUACGCGGAAUGCGCGGUGUAGCGGUGAAAUGCAUAGAUAUCGCGCAGAACUCCGAUUGCGAAGGCAGCGUACCGGCGCCGGACUGACGCUGAGGCACGAAAGCGUGGGUAUCGAACAGGAUUAGAUACCCGUGUAUA
This 467-nucleotide ribosomal RNA is filed under the name uncultured bacterium. Its description in RNAcentral is "bacterial SSU rRNA". It matches the Rfam family "Bacterial small subunit ribosomal RNA", at positions 329 to 794 of the family's 1533-position model. The record is from RNAcentral.